Molecule: long non-coding RNA, 671 nt
Filed under: Homo sapiens (human)
Lineage: Eukaryota; Metazoa; Chordata; Mammalia; Primates; Hominidae
Description: HSALNT0085304
Source: RNAcentral
GAACAAUUUCAAAAUAAAAACACAGAAAACAAAUGACCAGCAAAAUUGCUCUGAAGUCUUAAAAACAGAAAUAAAUACUUCAAUAAUCAUAGGUAAUAUGGAAAUCCAAUGUAUGACUUACCUAUAGAAAACCCUUCUGGAAUUUCAUUUAAAUCUAACGUCAAUAUGAGCUAUGUAGGAAGUCCAUUAAUAAAUAAGAAUAUUAUAUAGGUACACAUGUAUAUAUUAAUUUUAAGCCAUAUGCAGCCCUAUUUGAAAAUGUUAAAAAAAAAUCAUCAGGAUUAGUCCAUACUGAUUAUUAAAAAAUAAAAUUGUCAUUGCUCAUUGUAGAAGAUAAAUGUCAGCUGUGCAGCAGAUGUGUUUAUAGCCACCCAGUAAUCCUAUCGCCUCAAUAAUGCAUUUCCCUUUUUUUAGUUAAAAACUUAAUUACAUUAAGAAACUGUAUGUGUUUAGGAAUAUGAAUAUAGAAGGAGUAAUCAUCGUUUAGUAAAAUAAGUUUUACUUGCGUAGUAAAAUUUACUGUGUUUGUGAAGAUGCUGAUAGUACAUUACAUAUGGAGAUCCAAGUGCACAUAGUCACUAAUUCUUUAAACUAUGUUUGAUAUUAGUAAUAAUUUACUUUACAUAUAUAUCGGAAUUUAAUUGAAAAAUAGUAAAUGACUGCUAAUAUAC